AGUGAACGCUGGCGGUAGGCCUAACACAUGCAAGUCGAACGGCAGCACAGUAAGAGCUUGCUCUUACGGGUGGCGAGUGGCGGACGGGUGAGGAAUACAUCGGAAUCUACUUUUUCGUGGGGGAUAACGUAGGGAAACUUACGCUAAUACCGCAUACGACCUACGGGUGAAAGCAGGGGAUCUUCGGACCUUGCGCGAUUGAAUGAGCCGAUGUCGGAUUAGCUAGUUGGCGGGGUAAAGGCCCACCAAGGCGACGAUCCGUAGCUGGUCUGAGAGGAUGAUCAGCCACACUGGAACUGAGACACGGUCCAGACGCCUACGGGAGGCAGCAGUGGGGAAUAUUGGACAAUGGGCGCAAGCCUGAUCCAGCCAUACCGCGUGGGUGAAGAAGGCCUUCGGGUUGUAAAGCCCUUUGUUGGGAAAGAAAAGCAGCAGGUUAAUACCCCGCUGUUCUGUCGGUACCCAAAGAAUAAGCACCGGCUAACUUCGUG
Molecule: ribosomal RNA, 491 nt
Filed under: uncultured bacterium
Lineage: Bacteria
Description: partial 16S ribosomal RNA
Rfam family: Bacterial small subunit ribosomal RNA
Source: RNAcentral